AACUAGAAUCCACUAAUCAACAGGAGACUGCAAAUAGUCCGAGACCAUGCCAAUGUAAAGAAAAAAAUAGCAAGAAGUAUAUUAUGUGCAGGAGAUUUUAAGGUUUAUAUGAUUGCAGAAUGGUAACUUAAACUAGAAAGCAUAAUUUCGAAAGCUUACCAACAAGCUUCCUCUGGGACAUUUCAUGAUUAACAGUUUCAUAGUACUGCAAUCUAUCACGUAGCCGGAGGAUCUCCAGGUCUUUCAAUUCAAUGAUCGCCGAAGCAGUUUCUUCAGCCUCAGCGCGUGCUAGACCCCUUCCAACUGCUUCAGCAACAAAUUUAGCAGCAACAACUUCCUGGGACAUUUUAUCCACUUCCUGAUCCUCGAGCUGCAUGCCAUCACUAAUAGCAGGAGGAGCAGGAAAAGUAAGUCCAGCUUCAGACAUAAGGAUCCUAAUUUUCUCCCACUGACUGUGCAUCAAAAGAAAAGUUUCCUCUGCAAUCUUUCUCUUUUCAAUUUCCUCAAGAAGAUUGAGCCUUGACGCAUGCAAUUCUGAUUCAAGUCUAUGAUCACAUGAUGGCGUGUUUGAAAUGGACCCAUCAGAGGAGAACUCUGCAAACAAAGUCAAGUCAUCAAUCUUAAUUUCAC
Molecule: long non-coding RNA, 630 nt
Filed under: Salvia miltiorrhiza (redroot sage)
Lineage: Eukaryota; Viridiplantae; Streptophyta; Magnoliopsida; Lamiales; Lamiaceae
Description: long non-coding RNA (SMIL_LNC002637)
Source: RNAcentral